This is a long non-coding RNA of Myotis daubentonii (Daubenton's bat), 8192 nucleotides long. RefSeq lists it as uncharacterized. The record is from RefSeq and is a predicted model, not a curated record. Lineage: Eukaryota; Metazoa; Chordata; Mammalia; Chiroptera; Vespertilionidae.
CCUCCCAUUCCCAAGUCAUCACUUUCUAACACAUCACCAUUUCACUUUCAUGGCUCUAGGGACUAGUUGAAAAUGAUCUCAUUUAUUCCUUUACUUGGAUAACUGGCUUAUAGGAUGGGCUGAACCUGAAGACAUCAGGACUUAAGGAUAAUCAGGAAACAGCUAUAGUAUUUUUCUCCCCUCAUUGCCUUCAGCCAUGUUAUGGUGAAUUUCCUUUCCCCACCCUUAAUCUCAGAGUUUUUGGCUUGACCUUCCCUAUCAGCCACAAGAAUAGUUUCAUGUCUAUAAUUAAGACCAAUUUUUCAGGCACUAAAAACUCUGGUCCUGUCCAAAUAAAAAAAAAAAAAUCCUUAUCCAAUUUAAUCAAUCGAGAAUCCAAUUCAAUACUCCUCCCUGCCCCCCCCCCCCCCCCCCCCCGGGACUGUCCCCUGGCUCGAGAUCCGACAGUGGAGAGAGUGGAGUGUGGUCUGUUUUUCUGACCAUCCUUUUCGGUGGUGGCUCCUCCGUGUCAGGGUCAGGGGAGAGGUAUUAGAGGAAACAUGGCAAAGUCUUAUGUGACAGGAGCCCUUGGCUGGCAGGUGCCACAUGCUGGCUCUUUCAUAGGCACAUUUGUGGAUUCUUGGGAGGCUCCCUGCAAGACCUCCACCCUGCACGGCUGUAACAAAACACUCUCCGGCCAACCUCUUGCAGGUCCCUGUAUCCUCUGCCCUCGUGGACUUUCUGUUCCAUGCCAAUAAACCAAUGGUGAGUGGGCUGCUCCUCCCUCUGCCAUAGAAGCCACUCCAGCCAGGCUCCACAGUCAAAACUCUCCAGACAGACAGUAUCCACAAGUCUCUUCAUUUGUGUUCAUCCCCAAACUCUAAAGACAUAUGUUGGGUUCUCCCAACAACUUUCUUGUUGUGCUUUGGUACCUCGGGGUGCUUGCAGCUCCCAGCAACUCAGCCAGCAUCAGUGGAGGGAGAGUCAUGGGGAGUCGUGCUGGUUUCUUCUUCUUGAGGGCCCCCAAAUUCUGCAGCUGGUUCUCUUGGAGCCCCCUUUACUUGGUUUGCAUUGGGGAGUACCCUCAGGGGAAAUCUCAGCCCUGCCUACUAAUGCAACAGUUCUCUACCUCAACGCUUUAGAAAAAAUAGAUUUUUAUUGAUUUCAGAGAGGAAGUGAGAGGGAGAGAUAGAAACAUCCAUGAUGAGAGAGAAUCAUUGAUUAGCUGCCUCCUGCUCGCCCCACACUGGGGGAUCAAGCCCUCAACUCUGGCAUGUGUAGGAAUCGAACCAUGACCUCCUGGUUCAUACGUCGACUCUCAACCACUGAGCCAAGCCAGCCAAGCUCUAUGUCAACACUUUUUUCAAUCCCUUUCAUUCAUAGACUGAGGGAUAUGGCUUGAUAGUUGUUGAACUUGUUCUGCUGUUACUAAAAUGUGCAGGACUUCUCUUGGAAUGUGAGGAUAUUUAGUCCUUAUUGUUCUACCCUUGUGGCUUCAGCAAAAAUUCAAGACCACAGGAAAAAUCCUGUUCAACAACUGAAAAAAGUCAUUAUUGCCUGACUUUCCAAGCCACAAUGGUAGCUCUAAAAGAGUUGAUGUCUUGUCUCAACUCAGCACUGUUUCCCCAGAAUCUAGAAUAGUGCUUGACUCUAAUAAACAGCCAAGAAAUAUGGGUUCAAUGGAUGGCUAACUGAAUGAAUGGCAGAAUAAUCCCAUGAAGUAAGGAGGGCUGGUAUCAUUAGACCCAUUUUAAGAGAGAAAAACUGAGUUCCUGGUCCAAGUUCAUGUGCUUACUGCCUUGAGGGAUGGCCCUAGGAUCCCCUUAAAUUCUGGGUCUUGUGUUUUGGGAUGAAUGCCAUCUUGAUUCCCAGAAUGCUCAGUUCUUUCCCGGAGACAUUGCUCCUUCCCUGUUAUCCACCCAACUCUUUAAUUCCCGACUCCUUCCCUUCCCCCACUACCUGCCAGUUCCUUCAGGAGCUCUCCUCUUCAUCCCUCCGUGCUCACCUCAGAUCCCCAUGAGCCUCCCAAGGCCAGAAACCUUGGCGUCAUCUUCGUCCCUGAGUUAUUUUUUCCUCCCGUGUGUCCAAGUCAUUAUUACUGCUCCGUCUCCUCCGUCUGCACUUCUGGAAGUCUGCCGCCCAUUCAGCCUCUCACCGCUUGGCCCCAGCCAAAACCCUCAGGCAGACACACUUCCCACUCCGCUAGGGCGCCCCUCCUACUCCUUGGUGAGUACAAAUGGUCCUUGGAAAUUCCCACCCUGUUCUCCUAGGAGCCCACAACCUGGCUAAUCUCCCCUGAAGACUGGCAUCUCCUGUUCCUCCCAUCCCAGUGCCACCCUUCGGUCCUGUCUCCCACUUACUGCCCAUCACUCCUUUCCCUGCAACUAUUGGGAUCUGUUGAUGCAACUCUUCGAAAUCUCCAAUCCCAUAAAUGCUUGAGGUUUUUCUUUCUUUUUUUAAGCUGCCAAAAUUUAUAGAGUCUACUAGGGUUCAAGCACUGCAUUAAGCAUGCUACAUAAAUUGACCCCUUUAACCAGAUAAAGGGGGCAUCAUGAUUUCUGCCUAUACAAAGGAGGAAACUGAGGCUGGAAAUAGCUACUGCUUUACCCAGCUGAUAAGUAGCAGAUGCAGGAUUCAUUGGAGCCCAAGCUUUUAAGACUGCACCAUCUUGCCUCCCCCUUAGGCUUGUGACUCUGUAACCCGCCUCACAUUGAAGUGGUAUCUUUUCCCUGCCGCUGUUACCACCUAAGUACCUCGACUGCACAUCCCUCCAGUACCCUCUUCCCUGCCUGCUAGCCCACAAGUCAAGUCCCUGGGGACGUGGAGUUAUAAGAACUUUCUGUCCCCCUCUACCCUCCCUGGCCAGUAGGAGAAGAGAGGCUAAAUGUUAACAGCAUGGCCCCUGACUCACCAUGUGUCCCUUCCUUACCCUUGGUCCCAGCCUUCCCCCAGUGAGGCACCGAAUGCUGCUAACCCUACUCACCCAUCUCUUGGGUCUGGGGAGGGAAAUCACCUCUGGAAAGCCCUGCAGAGAGAGUCCCAGGGGCUUGAUAAGAGGAUUCCAGUGGGGAAAAGAUUGCCAGGACAUGUAACCGCAAGUGGGGAUGCUGGACACCCAGGGCACCCUAAUUGCUUUCCCAUGUCUUGCUGGAAUAAUGCUGGCAGCCAGAAAGCUACCAGAACCUGAACUAAUUUGAUAAACAAGGACCAAAAGCAAGGACCACAUUUCUGCUCCCUUUGCUGAGACCCAGACUCCCAACAGAAUUCCAGGGAUUUUUUCCUCCUUGGAAGUGACUGGACCUCCAGCCCUGAAUUCCUCUCCCCAGGAGAGCUUGUUCCCCUGCUCGGAACAAAUAACACAUUUCCUGGUUAAUCAGUGGGCAGAACAGCCGAAAAGGAAGGUUGAUUGGGCCCCAGCUUUCCAGAUGGGAGCAGCUCAGGGGCUGGGAUGCCCUCGUCCAGAUACUGGGCAGCUGGGACCCCCGCACUGCGCAGCCUCACCUCCAGUUUGGGAGACACAGGCUGUGUGAAGAGGCCCCAGCUCCCUCCUGCACGAGGUUUUCAAGGCCCACAGAGGCUGCCAAGAUCACUCCACCUCAGACACCGUGGCCUGGCAUCGCCCCCACAACUCACAGCCACCCUGCCCUGGACCGCCUGGGCUGUCUCCUCCCAUGAGCACGGAUGUUUCUGUCUUCUGCAAACUGAGCUCAGUUCUCAGCUACGCUUGGCUUCUAUUUUCUUAUCUGACGAUAGAGAUAAUGUUGCUCUUCUUGCCACACCACCUUCAGGGCAAAGUAGAUAACCAGCCCGAUCUACCCUGUGACGGGAGGGGAUCAAUCACUGCUACUCCAUUUGCCAGUGGGUAUUUGUCGAGCGCUUAAAACGUACCAGGCACUGUGCUUCGUGUUUUGCAGACAUUUUCUCAUUUAGUCCUCACAGUAGUCUUGUGAAGGAGGUAGCCGGUGAGGAAAUGAAGGCUCAGAGAGGUAAAAAUGACUGCUCACAAUUGCAAAGCUAGUAAGUGGCUACACUCGGAUUCCCCCCUGGUUUGUCUGGCUCCAGACACGAAGCCGAUGCCAGCGUCUCGAGGAGCCUUUCUGUGGAAAUGUGGCUCCGGCUGCCAUUCUCUGUAAUAGAAGCAUCCCAGCUGUUCGUGGUGUGGCCAGGGGUGCUGGGGGCCACAUAGAACUGCUGUCACGAGUUGGCCCACCAAGCACAUCUCACCGCCCCCCCCCACACACACCUAUUUACAGCUAGGGGUCUACUUUGGGUCAAGGGCAGACAAAGGUCAUCAUGGUGAGUUUCCGUGAAUCUGACUCGCCCUCACCAAGGAGAAGGAAAGAAGUCCAGUUUGUCCCACAUCAAAUCGUUUUCGGUUGCUGAGAAAGGCUCAUCUUAACCCUCAGCCUUUCUCUUUGGACGAGAGAAGUGGCGUCAACAAACAUCUCUGUGGCCCUGGGCGGUGGGCAUUGUAAUCCCAUUUCACAAACGCAGAAGGGUGAAGGCUCUUGCUCAAGGUCGUCCAGCUAGGAGUCGAGCCAGUGUUCAACGAAAAAGGCCGACCGGCUCCAAGGUCCGUGCUGUUUUCACUGCAGCGAACUGUACUCGCUCCAGGAUGUCCUGCAGUGAUGUGAAGUGGGCAGCCCUUCAAGUAGCUGAUUUCACUUGUUUCCCUUCAUUUCCAGUCCCUGAUACAAGGGUGGGCUGAUCUGAAAGUUCUGUGCAUUUAGCUCAAAGCUCAGACAACAUUUCCUACUUACCUGCAUGAAUUCCUUCAGCCUUUGGCUGAAGUGGAAUCUUCUAGAACUCCUGGGGCUGCAGCAUAACUUCUCCCCAAGUAGAGACCUGAAGGCCUAAGCAGGAAGACCAUGUGAGCGAGCAGUCCAGAGACCUCCUUCUCUUAAUUCCCUCCAGUAAGACCAGAGCUGCUCGACUGGGCUGGGGGCCGCAUGGAUGGGAUGGGGUCACACAUUGUAUUAUCCUUUCAGAAUCUCCAGGGAGAAAGCCCUACGGGUCCAAGGGCUGGGCAGAUCUACCCCGAAUUCUGGAAUGGCAGGCAGGAAUUUCAGGACAAGGAAGCUGGGAGCUAUCUGACCCUCUUGGCCAGGGAAGCCACGAGUGACUGUGCGUGUCAGCAGCAGGGCCUCAGAGCCUGGGAACGUCUCUGAUGGGGUCUAGUGCCAUCUUGGAUAACAUCCAGGGCUCAGAACUUGGAGGAUAACAGUGUACUUCAAGUUGUUGAGAUGCAAUGGCAGUUUCUUACUUGAUUCUGCCACCAUGUUGUAAAUGGCUUAUUAGAAUCUUUAAGCAUGUUUAUGAGAAGGUGACCUGAUGGAGAUAAAUACAACCCAGGAGGAGCAAUUGAGAUACUGGAGAAGAGAAAUCUUGGGUGAGGAGAGUCUGGCAAUCUUCAAUUAUUUGCAGGAUUAUCAGGUAAGAGAGGGGUUCGGUGUUCUGUGUUUUCAUUAGUCAUAACAGAUUCACUGUAGUAACAACACCCACACAGUAAAUUUAUGUUUGCUCACAGCAAGCAGAGCUCGGAUCCACAUGGUCAUGCAGUGCCCAGGAUCCUUUAGUCAUGGAGAUCCAAUAUAGAGACUUUUCUGCCGUCUCAUUCAGCCAGUAGAUAGAGAAGGGUAAAUGUGGAGGAAUGCACAUGCUUCUUAAAGGCAAUGUCUGAAUAAGAAAGAGGCAAACAACACUCUGUCCACAUUCCGUUGACCAGAACUUAGUCACAUGGCUAUACCUUACAACAGGGAGCUGGAAAUGUAAUCUGUGUGCCCAAGAGAAAAAGGCUGUGGGUGGGGGCUUUAGCACUCUAGACUUGGAAGAGACUGCCUUAGGAGUGAGAAGAGUUCAGGGCUUAAUAUAUCCACCCAACAACUUGCACACAAAUAAUGUAAGCUUAGUAGCAUUAUUCAUAAAAACCAAAGAUUAGUUAUUGGCUAAAUGCCCAUUGACUGGUGAAUGGAUCAAUAAAGUCUGAUAUAUCCAUACAAUGAAAUACAAUUAAGCAAUAAAAAGGAGUGAACUACCAAUACAUGCUACCACAUGAAUGAACCUCAACAUUAUACACACUGAAAGAAGCCAAUCACAACAUCACACAUUCAUUUAUAUGAAAUAUAAAAAGGGCAAAGCUACAGAGAUAGCAAAUAGAUUCAAGGGACAAGGGUAGGAGUGGAGUGGUUAAUAGUAAAUGGGCACAGGAGAUCUUAUUGGCAUGAUAAAAAUGUUCUAAAACUAAUUUAUGGUAAUGAUUUGGUAAAUUUAUUUAAAAAUAAAUGAAUUGUGCCUGGCUGGUAUGGUUCAGUGGUUGAGUGUCAACCCAUGAACCAGGAGAUCAUGGUUUGAUUCCUGGUCAGGGCACAUGCUCAGGUUGCUGGUUCAAUCCCCAAUAAGGGGUGUGCAGGAGAAAAACCAAUUGAUAGUUCUCUCUCAUCAUUGAUGUUUCUAUCUCUCCUUCUCCCUACCUCUCUCUGAAAUCAAUGAAAUCAUAUUAAAAAAUAAAUUAAUUACACAUUUGAAAAUGGCAAAUUGUAUGAUAUACAAAAUACGAUUCAAUAAUAUUUUUUGUUAGGUGUUAGGCGUUUAGUGCUUUGAGGUUGGGGAAAGGAGAAUAAUCCUGCAAAGGGAAUGAGAAAGGAAUAUCCAAGUGGAAGGAGGAAGCGGCACAGAAUCCAAGGAAAAGUUAGAUUUAAGGAAAGAAAGUAGAGUCAACUCUAGUCAAAGUUACUGAGCUGUCACAUGAGAUGGCAAGCUGAUGGUAUUGUCUCUGCCACAGUAGGGUUCACAGUUUUGUUCCAGAGCCUGGGUCAGGAACAAGAAAAACAGAGGAACAUAGAUUUCCACUUACAGUAAGUGCAACAUUGGGGUUGUCCAACAGCAGGACAGAUCCCAUUUCUGAGUCAUGAGCCCUCUGAUAGUGGAAGUGUUCAGAUAAGCUGGAUGGGCAGUGUAGAAAGGCUUUCCACACGGGAGGAAGACCUCUAAGGAGUGUCUGAAUCUAUGAGCAGUUUGCACCAAGGCCAGUACAAAGACUUGAGUAAUCAUAGGAAAUCGGGGGAAGAUAGGCUGAAGGACUCGAGAGAUGGCAUGAGAGAACCAGUGCUCAUUUUAAAAUAUGUGCAUGAAGGCCAAUCCCAUGGCUGCCUUUGUGUCACUGCCUCACAUUUGACUCACAUCCCCCUAAGAGGUAAGACAUGGAAAGGAGAGGAUGCAAGAUGAAGUUCACGGUAACCAUGUGAAGGGUUCCUGAGAUAAGAAGAAAAGAUGAAUUCACAAUAAAAGGAACACCCAUAUAUCAACCAUCCCUCCUAAAAAUAUACUAUUAUUUCAACUCUGGGUGGUGGGCACAUGGUACAGUAUACAGUUCUUGUAACAUAGAAACCCACACCUGAAACCUAUAUUUUCAUGUUGACCAAUGUCACCCCAAUAAAUUUAAUUUAAAUAUAUAUAUAUAUAUAUAUAUAUAUAUAUAUACUAUUAUUUCAUCUUUGAAAAAAAGAAGGUAUCUGUACAUCUCCUGAGAGGCAAAGGGAGCUGGGGACCCAUCAUGUGAGUGGGUUCAAGAAGAUUUCAAGCCAACUGUCUUUAUUAGGGCUUUGUUUGUUUGAUGCCUGUCUUAGUCACCCACCAGGAAUGGCAAUCAUGGUGUAGAAAUAUAAAAUAUCAUCAAGAAGUUGGGAGAAUCUUAUUUUCAAGGACUUGGAAAGCUGUGUGGAGCUUCUGGAUGGCCCGAGUUGCCAAUGGCCAUGACCGUAGCUGCUGGCAUUGCUCCAGCAUGAGCUCUGAUUUCAUGGCAAGGGAGAAGGAAUCCUUAACAGACUCCAAAGUCAAUUCAAAAAGCUAUAGUGCUGCCUGGUCACAAAACAAACAAUCCAGAAGCGAUUCAUUUGUUCAGCAAACAUUUGUUGGGCGUCUUCGUUAUGCAGGGCCCCCUCACAGAGCGUGCAGUCAGGUGGGAGGGCAAUUACCCCCAAGUUCCAAAGAAUAUGACAACCCACAUGGGUAACAGAGCUAGGUGCAUGCUUCUGAACCUGCCUCAUGAGGUCAAACUCAACAGUCUUUUUCUUAUCUCCAGACAAGAACCACAGCUGGAGGAGUGAGGAGGAAGAAGGGAGAGACAACAACAGUUUGUGCUUCUCCUUGUAUAAAUGAUAAUACUGAUAUCUGGAUUGCUGCAUGUCCAGCUACAACAGACCUCCCUGUGACAA